Molecule: small RNA, 639 nt
Filed under: Arabidopsis thaliana (thale cress)
Lineage: Eukaryota; Viridiplantae; Streptophyta; Magnoliopsida; Brassicales; Brassicaceae
Description: ATSL169330
Source: RNAcentral
AAAAUAUCUUUGUCUAAAAAUACUUCAUUUUGAAUCAUUGGUGGAUUCAAGUUUGUGACUUAACAAUUAUUAACGGAUAUUACAAAAUCAUUUAACGACAUUAAAUGUUAACCAUGUGUAUAUAAAUAGAUAUAUACAAAUUUUAUUCAAAAUCUUACAAAUAUAUUGGUGUGGUCUAGUGGUAACAAGUAGUUUAUUUAAUAUUACUGCGUUAAUACGAUCAAGACUCUCUCUUUCUCAAACCUCUUUCUUUUUUUUCCACUUUUACCUAAAUUCUUCUCGACUUCCGCAACUAACCUACUCCACGACCACAAAAAUGACAUAUACAUCGUCGUCGUCAUCUUUGUCUCAAUCUCUCAUGUGUUAAUUGUAUUUAAAUUCAAAUUUAUAGAAAGUGAAGAAAAUGAUGUAUUUAAAUUUGUAUGAUGACAUUCAUUAAAGAAAAUUGGACAUGUGCAAGUUGAAUAACAUACGUGUUACACCAAGCAAUAUAUUUGUAAAAGUUUUUAUAAAUAUUGUAUAUAUUUAUUUUUACAUGGAAAGUUAAAAUUUAACGUAGUUUACUAAUUUCUAAAAACUCUCGUUAACGGCUGUUAAGGUAAGGAUUUGAAUCUAAUAACAAUUCAAAAACAAAGUAUU